CGUAGGGCCCGAGCGUUGUCCGGUAUUAUUGGGCGUAAAGCAUACGUAGGCGGUUUGGUAAGACAAUGGUUAAAGCUCUGGGCUCAACCCAGAAAUCGCCGUUGUUACUGCCAAACUAGUCGGUAGCAGGGGCAAGCGGAAUUCUCGGUGUAGGAGUGAAAUCCGUUGAGAUCGAGAAGAACACCAAUGGCGAAGGCAGCUUGCUAGGCUAUUUGAGACGCUGAGGUAUGAAAGCGUGGGGAGCGAACGGGAUUAGAUACCCCGGUAGUCCACGCCGUAAACGAUGCACACUAGCCAUCAGAAGUAUCGACCCUUCUUGUAGCGAAGCUAACGCGUUAAGUGUGCCGCCUGGGAAGUACGGUCGCAAGACUA
RNAcentral lists this ribosomal RNA (372 nucleotides) under uncultured organism. RNAcentral describes it as "bacterial SSU rRNA". It matches the Rfam family "Bacterial small subunit ribosomal RNA", at positions 526 to 896 of the family's 1533-position model. The record is from RNAcentral.